This 253-nucleotide ribosomal RNA is filed under the name uncultured bacterium. RNAcentral's name for it is "partial 16S ribosomal RNA". It matches the Rfam family "Bacterial small subunit ribosomal RNA", at positions 524 to 776 of the family's 1533-position model. The record is from RNAcentral.
UACGGGGGGGGCAAGCGUUGUUCGGAAUUACUGGGCGUAAAGGGCUUGUAGGUGGCCAACUAAGUCAGACGUGAAAUCCCUCAGCUUAACUGGGGAACUGCGUCUGAUACUGGAUGGCUUGAGUUUGGGAGAGGGAUGCGGAAUUCCAGGUGUAACGGUGAAAUGCGUAGAUAUCUGGAGGAACACCGGUGGCGAAGGCGGCAUCCUGGACCAACACUGACACUGAGGAGCGAAAGCCAGGGGAGCAAACGGG